This 494-nucleotide ribosomal RNA is filed under the name uncultured bacterium. Its description in RNAcentral is "partial 16S ribosomal RNA". It matches the Rfam family "Bacterial small subunit ribosomal RNA", at positions 28 to 507 of the family's 1533-position model. The record is from RNAcentral.
GACGAACGCUGGCGGCGUGCUUAACACAUGCAAGUCGAACGGAAAGGCCUGCUUUCCCUUGUGGAUUGCGGGUACUCGAGUGGCGAACGGGUGAGUAACACGUGAGUGAUCUGCCCCCAACUUGGGUAUAAGCCUGGGAAACUGGGUCUAAUUCCCGAUAGGACUGCAGGGUGGUGCCUGUGGUGGAAAACGAUUUUCUAGUGGUUGGGGAUGAGCUCGCGGCCUAUCAGCUUGUUGGUGGGGUAAUGGCCUACCAAGGCGGCGACGGGUAGCCGGCCUGAGAGGGUGGACGGCCACAUUGGGACUGAGAUACGGCCCAGACUCGUACGGGAGGCAGCAGUGGGGAAUAUUGCGCAAUGGGCGGAAGCCUGAUGCAGCGACGCCGCGUGGGGGAUGACGGCCUUCGGGUUGUAAACUCCUUUCGACCGCGAGGAAGCCACCUGGUUGGAAGGGUGGUGACGGUAGUGGUAGAAGAAGCACCGGCUAACUACGUG